GGGGAUAUAGCUCAGUGGUAGAACACUUGCAUAGCAUUCAUGAGGCCCUGGGUUUAAUGCCCAGUAUCCACC
RNAcentral lists this transfer RNA (72 nucleotides) under Heterocephalus glaber (naked mole-rat). It matches the Rfam family "tRNA". From Rfam's summary of the family: Transfer RNA (tRNA) molecules are approximately 80 nucleotides in length. Their secondary structure includes four short double-helical elements and three loops (D, anti-codon, and T loops). Lineage: Eukaryota; Metazoa; Chordata; Mammalia; Rodentia; Bathyergidae. The record is from Rfam by way of RNAcentral.